GUGUCCUCAAGGUGAUCCAGACAGGCUGGACCAGAGGAGGAGAGACAGAUCUGGAGUCCUAACAGCAGAGAACUUCAGCACGGAUUCCAAAGAAAGGACAUGCCUGAGAGACAGGACUGCUUCACCAUGUUCUCUUUCUCUGAGGGUCCAGAAGAACAUCCAAGAGGGAAAGGAGAAGCUGAUGUGAUGAGAUUUAAGAGCAGUACAGGACAUUAAGAGACAGCGAAUAGUUUUGUAGUCCAACAGGAACUUUAUUUGUGUGUUGUUUUGUGUUUUACGUUGCACCUCAGAGACAGUGUGAUUAUUGUCAGGCCUAUAAAGUUUGGCAAAAAAAAAAAGUCAGCUGAUCAAA
Long non-coding RNA from Gymnodraco acuticeps, 352 nucleotides. RefSeq lists it as uncharacterized. Lineage: Eukaryota; Metazoa; Chordata; Actinopteri; Perciformes; Bathydraconidae. The transcript has 2 exons. The record is from RefSeq and is a predicted model, not a curated record.